CAAUUUGGGAGAUGUAUAGCAAUAGCUGAUUGCACCAACAAACAGUUGAUGCAAAAUUGAUUAUAUCAAAUAAAAUUCUAGGUAGAUUUUUGAUAAUGACAUUGCUUACCUAAGUCUUGACCAAAUUACGUGCCAGCAGUCGCGGUAAUACGUAAAAGACUAGUGUUAUUCAUCUUUAAUUGGUUUAAAGGGUACCUAGACAGCGAAUAAAGCCAUAGUAGGGACUAAUUCGCUAGAGUUACUUAUGAGGGGGUAUUAAAGUACUGCAGGUGUAGAGAUGAAAUUUUGUUAUACCUCUUCUCGUAUGAGAAACUAUGGCACAGGUAUAGGUGAAAGCAUCCCCUUAUGUGAUAACUGACGUUGAGGGACGAAGGCUUUGUGUCCCGAACAGGAUUAGAUACCCCAAUAGUCAAAGCAUAAAAUGGUGAAUGUCAUAGAUUAAUAUGCAAUUUAUUCGGGGGGUGAAAGUGUAAGCAUUCCACCUCAAGAGUGGUUUGGGGGCGGGGGAACUGAAAUCAUUAGACCGUUUCUGAAACCAGUAG
This 542-nucleotide ribosomal RNA is filed under the name Cladonia monomorpha. Its description in RNAcentral is "SSU rRNA". It matches the Rfam family "Bacterial small subunit ribosomal RNA", at positions 401 to 932 of the family's 1533-position model. Lineage: Eukaryota; Fungi; Ascomycota; Lecanoromycetes; Lecanorales; Cladoniaceae. The record is from RNAcentral.